GUGCCAGCCGCCGCGGUAAUUCCAGCUCCAAUAGCGUAUAUUAAAGUUGUUGUGGUUAAAAAGCUCGUAGUUGAACCUUGGGCCUGGCUGGCCGGUCCGCCUCACCGCGUGCACUGGUCCGGCCGGGCCUUUCCCUCUGUGGAACCCCAUACCCUUCACUGGGCGUGGCGGGGAAACAGGACAUUUACUUUGAAAAAAUUAGAGUGCUCCAGGCAGGCCUAUGCUCGAAUACAUUAGCAUGGAAUAAUAAAAUAGGACGCGCGGUUCUAUUUUGUUGGUUUAUAGGACCGCCGUAAUGAUUAAUAGGGACAGUCGGGGGCAUCAGUAUUCACCUGUCAGAGGUGAAAUUCUUGGAUCAGUUGAAGACUAACUACUGCGAAAGCAUUUGCCAAGGAUGUUUUCAUUAAUCAGGAACGAAAGUUAGGGGAUCGAAGACGAUCAGAUACCGUCGUAGUCUUAACCAUAAACUAUGCCGACUAGGGAUCGGACGGUGUUAUUCAUGACCCGUUCGGCACCUUACGAGAAAUCAAAGUGCUUGGGCUCCAGGGGGAGUAUGGUCGCAAGGCUGAAACUUAAAGAAAUUGACGGAAGGGCACCACCAGGGGUGGAGCCUGCGGCUUAAUUUGACUCAACACGGGGAAACUCACCAGGUCCAGACACAAUAAGGAUUGACAGAUUGAGAGCUCUUUCUUGAUUUUGUGGGUGGUGGUGCAUGGCGUUCUUAGUUGGUGGGGUGACUUGUCUGCUUAAUUGCGAUAACGAACGAGACCUUAACCUGCUAAAUAGCCCGCAUUGCUCCGGCAGUGCGCUGGCUUCUUA
Molecule: ribosomal RNA, 819 nt
Filed under: uncultured fungus
Lineage: Eukaryota; Fungi
Description: SSU rRNA
Rfam family: Eukaryotic small subunit ribosomal RNA
Source: RNAcentral